RNAcentral lists this long non-coding RNA (302 nucleotides) under Bos taurus (domestic cattle). Its description in RNAcentral is "long non-coding RNA NONBTAT024279". The record is from RNAcentral. Lineage: Eukaryota; Metazoa; Chordata; Mammalia; Artiodactyla; Bovidae.
GCAUGUGUAAACAAUGACAAAUGCAUAAUUAGAUAUCAUCUCUGCCUAUAUCAUUUACAAUGAAACACAAGACAAAGGAAUAAAGUGCCUUAGAAAUCCAACACCACAAAAAGGCAUUAAAAUUUAGGAAUGAACAGAUUUCACCACUUGCUGAACCAAAUUCUUGCUUGUACUUCACACAAAACAAAGGAUACUGUCACUCAAACAAGGGAUAUUGUGCAAAUGAACAUGUACAUCAAGGUUCUUGACUGGAAUUUCCAAAAAGAACACAUAUUUUAAAAGUGCAACAUCAAAGUCAAGUU